AAAAAUUUAGUUAAAUUAAUAAUAUAAAUUUGUCAAAUUUAAGUCAUUUUUUAAAAAAUAAUUUUUA
RNAcentral lists this transfer RNA (67 nucleotides) under Cheumatopsyche brevilineata. RNAcentral's name for it is "tRNA-Asp". The record is from RNAcentral. Lineage: Eukaryota; Metazoa; Arthropoda; Insecta; Trichoptera; Hydropsychidae.